RNA transcript from Hyla sarda, 5857 nucleotides. It is a transcript of the gene named nudix hydrolase 22, with no coding region annotated. Lineage: Eukaryota; Metazoa; Chordata; Amphibia; Anura; Hylidae. The record is from RefSeq and is a predicted model, not a curated record. The transcript has 4 exons.
UAAGUUUGGUGUGUGCUUUAGGUAUAUUAUUGUGUACUAUGCUGCAGAGGCAGCUCUACACUUGCACUGCAUCCUAUAUGUUCGGAGGAUUGGUGGGCACAGAGCAAGCCCAAGACAUUGUGCUGCCUGGGUCCAAGAGUGAAAAGCAUUUUUCAGCAUUCACAAUACAGUAAAUCUGACAUGCUAUAUUUAUUCUAUGGGUCAAUACGAUUCUAAUGAUUCCAAACUUGGAUCAUUUUUGUUUUGUUUUAAUAGGUGUUUUGAAUUUUUUUUGCGUUAAUGCCAUUCACUGUGCAUGAUCAGGAACAUCAUAAUUUUAUAUUUUGGAUAAUGGCACAUGCGGCGAUACCAAAUAUGUUUGUUUAUUUUUUUUUUUUUUACAGUGUUUUAUUUGAAAAUGAGAAAAGGGGAAUCAUUGAAACUUUUAUUGGGUAUAUAUUUAAAAAAAAGUUUUUUUAACUUUUUUUUUGACACCCUUAGGGGCCUAUUAUAAGCCAUCAGUAGAUGGCUUGCAUAGAACAAUGUAAUGCUAUUGCAUUACAUUGAUCUAUGUUUUUGGUGCCCAAUUGCUAAGGGCUGCAUAGGGCAGCCUUAAGCAUUCACCGAUCCACGGAGCAUCGGGACGGAUGGGUAAGUCCCGAUUCUUCCCCAGCAACUCAUCUGCAGCCCGCAAUUACAUUGCAGAGCUGCAGAUGGUUCCCCUAGACCCCAGGGAUUACCGUUAUUUAAUAUAUAUGUGGUGAGGUCAGAUGUUAUUACCCUAGGGCCGCAUGGCAUUAACGUCUUGUGUUCGUGAUGCCUGGGCGUGGUUUAUCAACACCACCCGAAGGUAUACCGCCGGAUCUAUGCAGCUAAAUAUAUAACUAUACAGCUAAAUAUAUACCAGAGGGGGACAAAUAUAAACGAUUAAAACUAAAUCCUACAUGGCUGACAAAUGAUGUUAAAAGAGCAAUAAACAACAAAAAAAAUAGCCUUCAAAAAAUACAAAUCUGAUGGGUCAGCUAUAACAUUUAAACAGUACAAAGAGCUUAAUAAAAUCUGUAAAAAUGUAAUAAAAACAGCAAAAAUUCUAAACGAGAGACAGGUGGCCAAAGAAAGCAAAACGAAUCCUAAAUAUUUUUUUAGAUAUAUAAAUGCAAAAAUACCAAGGACAGAGCAUGUAGGACCCCUUAAUAAUGAUAAUGGGGAGGUUGUCACAGGCGAUCAAGAGAAAGCGGAGCUACUGAAUGGGUUCUUUAGUUCUGUAUACACUAUGGAAAAAGGAGCUGACAUUGGCCAGGUCAGUGCUGGUAACACAUCAUGUAAUGUACUGAACUGGCUUAAUGUAGAGAUGGUACAAGGUAAGUUAAGUGAUAUAAAUGUAAGCAAAUCUCCAGGGCCAGAUGGAUUGCACCCAAGAGUUCUUAGAGAGGUAAGUUCAGUAAUAUCUGUACCCCUGUUCAUGAUAUUUAGAGAUUCUCUGGUGUCUGGUAUUGUGCCAAGGGACUGGCGCAAGGCGAAUGUGGUGCCAAUCUUCAAAAAGGGCUCUAGGUCUUCCCCAGGAAACUAUAGACCGGUAAGUUUAACGUGCAUUGUGGGUAAAUUGUUUGAAGGACUUAUAAGGGAUUACAUACAGGAAUACAUACGGGAUAAUUGUAUUAUAAGUGAUAGCCAGCAUUGGUUUACUAAGGAUAGAAGUUGUCAAACCAAUCUAAUUUUCUUUUAUGAAGAGGUGAGUAGAAGCCUUGACAGAGGAAUGGCUGUGGAUAUAGUGUUUCUGGAUUUUGCUAAAGCAUUUGAUACUGUCCCUCAGACGUCUGACAGGUAAGUUAAGGUCUUUGGGUUUGGAAAUUUUGGUUUGUAACUGGAUUGAACACUGGCUCAUGGAUCGUACCCAGAGAGUGGUGGUCAAUGAUUCGUACUCUGAUAGGUCCCCAGUAAUUAGUGGUGUACCCCAAGGUUCAGUACUGGGCCCGCUGUUGUUUAAUUUAUUUAUCAAUGAUAUAGAGGAUGGUAUUAACAGCUCUGUUUCUAUCUUUGCAGAUGACACCAAGCUUUGUAGCACGGUACAGUCUAUAGAGGAUGUGCAUAAGUUACAAGAUGACUUGGAUAGACUAAGUGUCUGGGCAUCCACUUGGCAAAUGAGGUUCAAUGUGGAUAAAUGUAAAGUUAUGCAUCUGGGUACUAAUAACCUGCAUGCGUCGUAUGUCUUAGGGGGAAUUAAACUGGCAGAGUCACUGGUAGAGAAGGAUCUGGGUGUACUUGUAGAUCACAGACUACAGAAUAGCAUGCAAUGUCAGGCUGCUGCUUCCAAGGCCGGCAGGAUAUUGUCAUGUAUCAAAAGAGGCAUGGACUUGAGGGACAGGGACAUAAUACUCCCCCUUUAUAAAGCAUUGGUACGGUCUCACCUGGAAUAUGCUGUUCAGUUUUGGGCACCUGUCCAUAAAAGGGACACUGCAGAGUUGGAAAGGGUGCAGAGACGCGCGACUAAACUAAUAUGGGGCAUGGAUCAUCUUAGCUAUGAGGAGCGAUUAAAGGAAUUACAAUUGUUUAGUCUUGAGAAGAGACGUUUAAGGGGGGAUAUGAUAAACGUAUAUAGGUAUAUUAAUGGCCCAUACAAAAAAUAUGGAGAAAAACUGUUCCAGGUUAAACCCCCCCAAAGGACGAGGGGGCACUCCCUCUGUCUGGAGAAGAAAAAGUUUAGUCUCAAGGGGCGACACGCCUUCUUUACCGUGAGGACUGUGAAUUUAUGGAACGGUCUACCUCAGGAACUGGUCACAGCAGGAACAAUUAACAGCUUUAAAACAGGAUUAGAUACAUUCCUGGAACAAAAUAACAUUAAUGCUUAUGAAGAAAUAUAAAAUCCCAUCCCUUCCCCAAUAUCGCGCCACACCCCUACCCCUUAAUUCCCUGGUUGAACUUGAUGGACAUAUGUCUUUUUUCGACCGUACUAACUAUGUAACUAUGGAUCCUGGGCUAGGCGCAGGGGCAAAUAAUGACUCCGAUGCCAAGUUACGGAAAACGGCAGCUUUACUGAGGUAGACAGGUGUAAUAGUCUUGCCAGCUAAGUUAGGCCCAAGGAGUUGACCAGUGACUUCAGAGACCUUAGGGCUCGCUGGGACUUUUAGUGGAUUUGGACAAUUUGCUGCAGGACCACACUGACUGUAUACAGACUGAUCUUGACUGACUUGACUAGACUGACUUCACAGACUUCACCCCGUAUGUAGCUUACCAGGUUUUGAUGUUCACCUGUGGGGUAGGGGACUUGUGGCUGCGUGGUAGGCUUUAGGCCUCCUUAGGACACCAGACACUCUCUCUCAGGACUUGACCUCACUGUACUCAGCAAAAACUCAGAGACUGAACUAGCUCCACCCAGGGAUUAUAUGGGGGAGACUCUGGAGGGGACCCAUAGGUCACCCUAUAGUCACCUGAUCACUGGUACCUUCCUUGGUUACAACACAUGAGAACAGUAUUUAAAGGUACAUAACAAUAUAUACACAUUAACAUAGACACUUAUUAACCAUUUAUGGAACAUAGGUGAAGGGGAGGCCCAGGGGUCACUGAAAUAGUCUGCCUGACAGGGCAGCAAGGGUACAGGGGUGCAACUCCUGUACUGGGCCACCACAAACUUCCCCUCUUAACGACAGCCGUUCUUGCCGCACAGUCCUGGAGGGCAUAUGAAGUGGCCACGGAGGCCUGAUAACAACAGUAGAAACAGUUCCUGGGGCAUUUGAAUUAAUGUCCUUCACAGGGCUGGUGAACUGGGGAAAGAGUCCAUGUGGCAUUGCAAUUAACGUCCUUACAUGUUUUAUUUUGCUCAUAACUGCUUGCUGGAAAAUAAUGAUGAGCUCGGAUCGGGCUGCCGGAGGCUUUCUACCCGAAUGGCUAUGCUAAUCGGGACCUUCGGUUAUAGCUACUUCUCCCCAUAGCAUUAGACUAGUAAAUACACAUUUUUUUGACAACAUGUAAGAAUGUUACCUAUAUACACAGUAGCUCUGCCAUGGUAUGUGUUACUUACACCUCCAGAAGAACUCUCUGGCCACAAGAACAUCCUGUACACGAUGGACAUAACUCAAUAGACAUUAGACAUUUGUUGACUGAUGUGGAGUAAAUAUAUAGCCUAGUUAGCUACAUUCCUGACUAGACAUGUGACAUUUGACUGUUAGAUACAUAAUAGAUGCUAUGUACAUUACUGACUAUCUGUACACGAAAUGAUAUUGGAAGUAAUUAUGCUAUACUGACUAGGCAUUACUAUGAUAUAUACAGAUAAUUUUUAUAUAUAAAGGUAUGUUUAUUCUCUAUACCUGGCAGGUAUUUGGCCUUGUGUGGACCUUUGGCAUCUGCACAGCACCAACAGAAUUAGGAACUGACGGAACUUCUGAAACUUCAGCAGGCUCUUCUUCGGCAAACACAGGGAGCUGGAAUUUGUUCAGGAGUUGCUGGAAUCGGGACUGCUGGUACUUGAACUGGAGAAGCUGGAGUUAUUGCUGGCACUCUGGGAGCAGGUACAUAAGCAGGAGCCAACGGAGAUAGAGUGGGAACUGGCGUGUUGACUAAUGUUGGCUGGACCAGGUGCUGGAGGCAAACAGAUGAGUGUUGGCUGACUUAGGGAGAACAUUAGGAAAUCCAUGGAUUGGGUGGAUCCCUUCGCCAGGAACAUAUUCCCUCGCAGGUGUGACAUCUGGAGGAGGCGGUGGAGGAAGUACUGGUUGCGACUGGUGUAGGCAAUCUCUCUCUGGUCCAUCUUGAACUUGGGACAGGACAUCUCCUAGACCUUCAAAACCGCCAUCAGUAUAUAGCCGGAACAGCUGACUGUAGUCUGGAUAUGCCAAGAUGGGUGGUUCGAUCAGCAGACUUUAAGAGCUCGGUAUCCGGUGAUGAGCAGCCUUGCGGACAAUAAGGAGACAGUAACGACAAAUUCCGGUACCGGAGACUUGGUUUUGAUGAUUGAUGGUGUUUGCAGAGCUCACACUGCAGCGCUGACUUUGCAGGUGACAGCCGGAGAGGAGCCGGAACUUCCAAGAUGGCUGCGCCCAGGGAACUUCCUGUUUGUGUCCGGCCAGGAAAGUCUUCCCCUGUGCAACACGGGGCGGUCUUUUGAGCCUCCUCGCUGGAUUGAAGAGGCGUCACCGCUGGGGACUGACGUGGGCGAAGCUGCGACCACGCGCACGGGAAACGCUCGACCAGAUUCUCUCUUUCAGGAUUUACUGACCAUUGAGAGCUCAGAAAUGUGGAAAGAGUUUUGUCCUUCAGCAAAAGGUUGUGUGAAACUGUACAUCAUGGUACGAGAGCAGAAGUCCUAAGACCAGACACCUCUAUAGGACGUUGUUCUGUUUGACAUAAGGGAACAAUGGGCCUUGCUCAUAAGUCACAAAUAUUUCUACUGCUGGGUACAACAUGGUCUUCUUCCUCUGAAGACUCCCUGUAAAUAGCACUUGUACACUUUAAUUAAGCUUGUAAAAUAUUUACUAUGUUUAAUAAUAAAGCUGUUUUUCAGUAUGAGAUGUGAAUAUUGUAGCUGGCUGACAAUGGUAUACUUUUGUUUAUAUUGGUUUAUGUUCUUGUUGCUGUCUUAUUGUUUUUUUUUUUUUAAAUAACUUCUACUGUAUAUACCUAUGUACAGUAUGGUCACUUAGGAAAAGAUAAUAUACAUAAUGAAACUUCUUUGAGAAGACUCUAUAGGGGAAAAAUAUUAAGAGUGGUGUAGGUGAAUGAUUGUGCUAUAACACAUUUAAUUUUGUGUGGUGGUAAUGUGUAUGUGCAGCAUAUUUAUUAAAUGGUUGCAUGGUAUGUGAUAAAUAAGGUUAUAUGUUUUCUCCUCUGCAAUAUUUUCUCCUCGACUUUUUCAUCUGUUACACCAAAAUAUGUGACUUUUCAC